This 906-nucleotide long non-coding RNA is filed under the name Hordeum vulgare. RNAcentral describes it as "long non-coding RNA (HVUL_LNC001341)". Lineage: Eukaryota; Viridiplantae; Streptophyta; Magnoliopsida; Poales; Poaceae. The record is from RNAcentral.
CCUGACCCGCCCGUACAUAAGCGCCGCCGUGGCCCUGCACUUCGGCAUCGAGCCGGCCGGCGCCGGCUCUACCCCUACUACGUGGUGGCGCUGUGGCCCACCCUGGGUGACCCCGCGGCCAUCUCGGGUGUGGCGAGGAGCAGCGGCCCCCUGCGCCCUCCGGCCAGCCUUCCCGCAUGGCAGAGAGGUGGCAACCGCGGCGUCCGGCGCCGUUCCCUGACCUCGGGCACGAUGGAGAGAGGAAGAAGAAGGAACCAGGGUAGGAGAGAGAGAGACGGAAGAAGAGAUAGUGGCGGGCCCCGCCCGUCAGUGAGAGAGGGAGGGAGUGGAUAAGGUGGCCCCACCUGUAAGGGAGAGAGAGGUCAACCCCCCCGGGCCCGCGCGGUUUAACUGGAAGCGCCUUCCCUGGGAUGCGCUUUCUAUUCGGUGAAAGCGUAUUCCCAGGAAUGCGCUUUCUAUUUUAAAACCCCGCCGGCUGAACUGCUUUUAUUGUGAACGUUCACUGGUUAAGAGCAGAAACGAAUAAGUUUUUAUUUGAUUUCUGCCUAACAAAUGAACGCCCAUAACUUUUCAACCGUAACUCCGAUUGAGGUAAAACCAGCGCCCACGUCUUCGUCUCGUUGAGCCGGUCUCGAUAGUAUUACUUUCAUAAGAUGUUUGUGUAGUAGAAAUGACCAUUUUUCCCUUGCCUUUGUUUGAGCCUUCCGAGAAGGAAGCCCUCUCCGGCAAAGCUUUCCGGUGUGUUAUUGCACUUCUUCCCGGAGUAUUCAUCGACCCCCAGGCAAGCCAACCUCUUGCUAAGAGCUCCGGACAUGCGUGAUAACUUUGCUUGCACUUUGUGUGUUCAUGUGUAUCACCUGUUAGCCUGCAUUUGUAUAUAAUUGUGACAUCAUUAAUAACAGUCCC